Molecule: unclassified non-coding RNA, 8637 nt
Filed under: Hevea brasiliensis (rubber tree)
Lineage: Eukaryota; Viridiplantae; Streptophyta; Magnoliopsida; Malpighiales; Euphorbiaceae
Source: RNAcentral
AAGAAAAGAAAAGAAAAGAAAAGGAAAGAAAAGAAAAGAAAGGAAAAUAAAAAGACUUAUGGCAUUUAAAGAAAAGAAAAAAAUAAGCUUAUGAAAAUUUAAAACAAAAUUAAGUACAAUAAAAAAAUAAAUAUAUAAAGCACAAGAGACAAAACCCACCUACUUUUCUCUCCAUCUUCUUCCCCACUCUCCCUCUCUCUUGCCGUCCACCCUUGUGCUCCCUCUCCACCAUUUUUGUCAAGCUUUCAAGCUUGAUUUCCCAAGCUUCUACACACCAAAACCCAUAGCCCACUUCACAAAAAAUACUCCCCACACCCUAAGGAAGCUAUAGAUACCAAAAAGAAGCAAGGAAAGUGAAGUUUAACAAGUUACAAAAAAAGGUUAGUGCUCAAAACUCUUAAUCUCUUCUUUAAGCAUGAAAAUCAUACUAAACCAAGUGAAGAUUUACAUGAAAUUAAAAAGAAAAAUUUGGGAAAGAAACCCUUGAAUUCAGCAGCCCUAGAGGAACCAUGAAAAUGAUGGAUUUUGUUGGUUUUAGUUUAGUUAGGGAAGUUAAUUAACUAGGUAUUAUAUGUGGGAAUUGAUUUCAUAGUUAUAUAUAUGCAUUUGAUGUUUGAAAUUAGGGUUGUGCACUUGUUAUUGAGGAUUUUGUAAUAUUUUUGAAUUUGACCUAAUUGUGUUGAGAUUGAUGAUAAUAGAAGUGACAUGUAUGUUUAUUUGGAGAUUGGAGAAGGUGGAGAUUAAAUUUUGGGAGUGUCAAAUUUCUGCAGGUUGGGACUCAAUGAGUCCAGUGUGUUUGUUGAACCCUAACUGACAAUGUGUGACUCCAAUUGGUAUGAGGCCAAUUGGAGGUAAAAUUAGACAUAUAAUGAACCAACUUUCAUGUAGAAGCCUUACCAAAAAUCUGGCUAGAAAGUGACCUAAAAAGUGAUCUAAUCUGGAAUUGGUAAAUUGAAACCCAGAAUUUUUUACCAUAUGAAUAGUAGCCAGUAUUUUGGCCAUAACUCACUCAAAACAGGUCCAAUUGACCUGAAAUUUUGACUAUGAAUAGUUAAGACCCAUAUCUACAAGUCUUAUGAAGACACCAAAGCCCAGAAAUGACCAUAAGCAAGUCAAACAGCUUGCACAAGUUCGGGUCCAAAAACUGGCCGAACCAAAGUUGACCAAAUUGACCUAAAAUUGACCUAAUUUGAUGCCAUUUGACCAGCAAUAGUAAAAUGACCAUAACUUGGUCUACAUAACUCAGAAUGACCUGAAAUUUUGCCCCGCGUGCAAUAAGACAUAGAUCUACAAGUUUGUAGUUUUGACCGAAACCCGAAAACCGAGGGAACUAGGUCGUCCGGCUAGGUCAAACUAGUAUCUCGGAAUCCAGCAAAUUGCAAGAAAAUGCAGUAUACACGGAAAUGAGUUUGGUAACAUGUACCAACCCUAAAAGGCUAUCGAAUGUGACAUGUUAGUAACAUUAAAACCUAAUUUACCUAGAAUGCAUCGAGGGUCAACAUAUUAGGUUGACUAAGCAAAUAAUAGAAUUCAGUGAAUUACUUAUCAAGCAUUAUCGUUAGAGACAGUUUAAUUUAGUACUGAAACACUUCAAAUUGUGUUUCUCAGUUAGCAAAGACUCAAGGAAAGGGAAGGAAAUACUGAGUCAGAGCCAAGAGAUAGUUAUCAGAGGUUUGUGCACAAUAGUUAUUUCUUUUGAAUUUUUCAAUUGAAAUAAAUAUUGACUAUUUGUAUAUUAUUGUUUUAAAUUGUGGAAAUGUGUUUGAUGAACACUUAUUGAUUGAAAAACAUGGUGAAUGGUUUGAAACUGUGAAAAAUUGUUUGAAUGAUAUUGAUGGAUACUUAUUGAUUGAAAAGCAUUGGAAAUAGUUUGAAACCACAGCUAUCAUGUACAUUGAUUGUAUUCCUCGCUAGCUUGUCUAGUGGGACGAAUUGAAUUCCCUCUCUGGCUGAAGUGUUGAGGUGUGUGCCUGUUGAGAACUAAUAGAAUGAGUACUCAUAUUAUUGCUAGCUAGCUAUGUUAUUCCUCACUAGCCAUCGGCUUUUGGGGUGAAUUGAGCUUUGGCAACAUGAUUAAGCUGUGUGUGUAUGAUUUAUUGAUAUUUAUUGUGAUAUUGUGAAAUGGAGUUUAAAUUCUUAUUGACAUUCACUGUCUUUUGAAUUUAACUAUGUUUGGAUUUCUGAGAUUUAUUAUGAUAUUGUGUUAAAUUCCUUCUGAUAUUCAUUGUCUUGAACUUAACUAUGAUUUUACGUAUCCAUCAUUUAUAUGAUUUAUGAAUUGUGAUUUAAAGUUGUAUUUGGUUAAUGUUGUGCACCACUGAGACAUUGUCUCAGCGAUAGCGUUUUAUUGCUGUCGCAGGUAGACAGACAGACAGGGCAGCAGACUAGGCUGCAUAUACAUCCAGCGAGGGAUUACCUGGAAAGCUAAGAUCCUCGCAUUGAAUAUGGAAGAGGGUGAUCGUUCAGUCGAUCAGUCUAUUGAGGCUGAGGUGCAAGGGGAUGCCCCAGGCCUACAUAAUGUUAGUGGUUCAGCAGCACCAGCCCCUGCAGUACCGCAGUUUCCUGCUCAGUUUGUGCAGCAGAUGGCUGCGUUUUUCCAACAAAUGGCGAGAAAUGUGCCACCCCAAGCUCAGAUGCAAGCACCUGUAGCACAACCAGAGCUCUUGGCUCGGCAAUAUGAAAAAUUAAUGAAAUUUGGGGCCACCGAGUUUAAGGGCACUGUGGAUCCACUGGAGGCAGAACAGUGGUUAGAGCAAAUGGAACGGGUUUUCAGAAAGCUGCAGUGUGCAGAAGAGCUGAAGUUCGAGUACUCUGUUUCUUUGUUGCAAGGGGAUGCAUAUGAAUGGUGGAAGACCAUUCCCCACAGCUUGGUUGAGCCACCUGUGUUGACCUGGUCAGACUUUUUGAGGGAGUUUCGACAGAAGUGGGUUCCCGAUGCUUAUGUAGAUAUGAAGUUACAGGAAUUCCUAAGUUUGAAACAAGGGGAUAGAACAAUAGCAGAGUAUGAACGGGACUUUUCAAGGCUAAGCCACUAUGCUGGAAGCUUAGUCUCUACCCCCAGAGACAGAUGUAAAAGGUUUGAGUCCGGGUUAAGGUCGAAUCUGAGGAUGCAAGUUGUGGGAUUCAAACACCAGAAUUUUUCUGAGCUGAUUUCACAAGCCCUGGAACUGGAAAGGAUAGAAUCAGAAGGGGCAGUGAAGAAGGGUACACAAGAGAAAGAGAAAACUGAAAGGACUACUGAUCAAACACCUGAAAGUGGUUCAGGGAAGAGGAAACAGUCUGGGGGAUAUAGCUCUCGCAGAUCUGGCAGAGGUAGAUUCUCUGGCCAAAGACCGCUCCGGUUUGGUCAGCAGACCCGACAAGCUUCUCAAGGAUCUUUAUCAGUCCGGCAGUGUGAAACCUGUGGUAGAACACACGGUGGGGUGUGUUUCAAGGCCAUAGGUGCAUGUUAUAACUGUGGAGGGAGCGGGCAUUUUGCUAAGGAUUGUACUAGUCCGCGCCGAUCUAGACCUUCUGCUACAUCUGAAGGAUCAGCCCAAGUUUCUACACCUAGAGGGUCACAGCCAGUUGGUAGAGGUAGAGGCAGAGGUAGGGGUCCUGGUAACACUUCUGGAAGUCAAAGUACUAUUAACCAGCCAGUACCCAGUGGCGCACCAGUCAGAGUGUAUACCAUGCGUCUAAGGGAGGAGGCUGAAACAUCAGACGUAGUAGCUGGUAUUUUCUCCAUCCUUAACCAAGAUGUAUAUGUGUUGUUUCAUCCUGGCUCCACACGUUCAUAUGUCAGUGUUAGUGUGAUGUAUUCUACUGCUAUUCAGUGUGUACCAAUGGACUAUGAUGUGCUAGUAACUAGUCCAUUAGAUCAGGAGGUAAGGGUAAAUAGACUAUAUAGGGAUUGUCCUUUGGUAAUCUAAUGACACACUUUUCUGUCUAAUUUGAUUGAAAUGCCCUUCAAAGAUUAUGACAUUAUCUUGGGCAUGGAUUGGUUAGCCAGGCAUCACGCCAUGAUUGACUGUAGACUGAAGACAGUCACUUUUGGUCUCCCUUUGUACGGUGAUGUGGUAAUACACGGGGAGAGGCAUUUACUGCCAUCAAACAUCAUUUCGGCUGCACUAGCCAGAAGAAUGAUCAGAAAGGGGUGUGAAGCAUACUUGGCACAUGUGAUAGACACCCAAGUGGGGAGUCCAGCACUGAGGGACAUUCCUACUGUAUGUGACUUUCCGGAUGUGUUUCCUGAUGAAUUGCCAGGAUUACCUCCAGAAAGGGAAGUGCAGUUUGAAAUUGAUGUUAUGCCUGGUGUGGAUCCAAUCUUUAUAACACCAUAUAGAAUAGCACUUGCAGAUUUGAAAGAGUUGAAAGUGCAGUUGCAAGAAUUGCUUGACAAGGGCUUUAUCCGCCCUAGUGUGUCACCUUGGGGAGCGCCACUGUUGUUUGUAAAGAAGAAGGAUGGCACUCUCCGGUUAUGCAUUGACUAUCGGCAGUUGAAUAAGGUGACAAUAAAGAAUAGAUAUCCAUUGCCCCGCAUUGAUGACUUGUUUGAUCAGUUGAGGGGUGCAGCUGUGUUCUCCAAAAUUGACCUGAGAUCAGGUUAUUAUCAGCUGAAAGUACAAGAGCAGAGUAUUUCUAAAACUGCCUUCAGAACCCGCUAUGGCCAUUAUGAGUUCUUGGUCAUGCCAUUCGGGUUAACUAAUGCUCCGGCUGCUUUUAUGGAUCUGAUGAACACUAUCUUCAGACCAUACCUCUACCAGUUUGUUGUAGUAUUCAUAGAUGAUAUAUUGGUCUAUUCGAGGAGUGCAGAAGAGCAUGAUAGACAUCUGUGGAUUGUACUGCAGACUUUGAGGGAGAAACAGCUAUAUGCCAAAUUGUCGAAAUGUGAAUUUUGGUUGAAGGAAAUAUCCUUUUUGGGGCACAUAGUAUCAGCAGAGGGUAUUAAGGUAGAUCCUAGCAAGAUUGAAGCUGUCCUUAAUUGGAAGCCACCCAGAAAUAUCAUAGAGAUUCGUAGUUUUCUGGGUUUAGCUGGAUACUACCGUAGAUUUGUGAAGGGAUUCUCCAUGUUGGCAUCUCCAUUGACUAAGCUACUUAGAAAAGAUGUGAAAUUUCAGUGGACGGACAAAUGCCAGCAAAGUUUUGAUGAAUUGAAGAGAUGUUUGACUGAGGCUCCAGUCCUGACUUUACCUACACCGGGUAAAGAAUAUACAGUUUACAGCGAUACUUCUCACAAUGAGUUAGGUUGUGUGUUGAUGCAAGAUCGAAAUGUCAUUGCCUAUGCAUCACGCCAGCUAAAACCGCAUGAGAGGAAUUAUCCGACAUAUGAUUUGGAGCUUGCAGCUAUAAUAUUUGCUUUUAAGAUCUCGAGACACUAUUUGUAUGGGGAAAAGUGUUACAUCUACACAGAUCAUAAGAGUUUGAAGUAUUUGGGCACCCAGAAAGAGUUGAAUUUGAGACAGAGGAGAUGGUUAGAGUUGAUAAAAGACUAUGAUUGUCUGAUAGACUAUCAGCCAGGGAAAGCUAAUAUUCUGGCUGACGCCUUAAGUCGUAAGACUAUGGCAAGUCUACGAGUUACUCCUUUGUCUAUGGUACAUGGGUUGAGAUCAUUACAUGCCAGCUUAGAGAUUAAUGAUGAGGGGCAGACAGCAGUUGCAUGGCAUGUACAGCCAGUGUUGAUUGAUCAGAUUAGAAUGGCUGCUCAGAAUGAUCAGAAGUAUCAGAGGUUGUUGGAAGAAGUCCAGCAGGGCAAGAAACCAGAAUUCUCAAUCAGAGAUGAUGGUCUACUGCUACACCAGGGCAGAAUGUGUGUUCCUAAUGAUGUUGAUUUGAGGCAGAUCAUUUUGAAGGAAGCACAUGAGUCUCCUUUUGCCAUGCACCCUGGUGGUACAAAAAUGUAUAGAGGGCUAAAGGAGCAUUACUGGUGGAUGGGUAUGAAAAGAGAUGUGGCAGAGUUUGUAUCCAAAUGCCUAACUUGUCAGCAAGUAAAGGCAGAGCAUCAAGUACCCGCUGGGUUGUUACAUCCACUACCAGUACCAGAGUGGAAAUGGGAGAGAAUAACGAUGGAUUUUGUGAUGGGACUUCCGAGGACACAGAAGAGUCAUGAUGCGGUUUGGGUCAUUGUUGACAGACUGAUCAAGUUUGCUCAUUUUCUGCCAGUUCGGAUGGACUACAGUUUAGAAAGAUUGGCCAAGUUGUAUAUAGAUGAGAUUGUGAGACUACAUGGAGUGCCAGUAUCCAUCGUAUCAGACAGAGAUCCUAGGUUCACUUCUAGAUUCUGGGGUAGUCUUCAGAGAGCCCUAGGAACUAGAUUGAACUUCAGUACUGCAUUCCACCCACAGACAGAUGGCCAGUCUGAGAGGGUAAUUCAGAUCUUGGAGGACAUGCUAUGGGCUUGUGUGAUUGAGUUUGAGGGUAGUUGGGAUACACACUUGCCUUUGAUUGAGUUUGCUUACAACAACAGCUACCAAUCAAGCAUUGGGAUGCCUCCAUAUGAAGCUUUGUAUGGUAGGAAGUGCAGAACUCCCUUAUGUUGGGAUGAAGUAGGUGAAAGGAAGAUGAUUGGGCCAGAAAUUGUUCAGCAGAUAGAGGAAAAGAUCAGAUUGAUUAGAGAUAGACUCAAGACUGCGUCAGACCGUCAGAAGUCCUAUGUUGAUCUGAAAAGAAGAGAUAUUGAGUAUGCAGUGGGUGAUAAGGUAUUCCUCAAAGUUUCUCCUUGGAAGAGAAUUAUGAGAUUCGGCAGAAAGGGGAAACUGAGUCCUCGUUUCAUUGGGCCAUAUGAGGUUCUGGAAAGAGUGGGUCCUUUGGCAUAUCGGUUGGCAUUACCUCCAGAGCUAGCAAAGAUACACAGUGUCUUCCAUGUGUCCAUGUUAAGGAGGUACAGAUCUGACCCAUCUCAUGUGUUACCUGUGGAAGAAAUUGAAGUGAAUCCAGACCUCACAUAUGAAGAAGAACCCAUAAAGAUUCUGGCUUAUGAGGUGAAGCAGCUACGAAACAAGCAGAUACCGUUGGUAAAAGUGCUGUGGAACCAUCAUUCGGGCCAAGAAGCUACUUGGGAACGAGAGGAGGACAUGAGGAGACAACACCCACAGCUGUUCAGAAAUUGAUACCAGGUAAAAUUUCGAGACGAAAUUUAUUUUAAGGGGGGGAGAAUUGUAACACCCCUAUUUGUAUAGCCUGGUAUAUUUCACUGUUCCGGUGACCGGUGUCGGUCCGGACAAUUAAGGGGAUUAGAACCACACUUAAGACAACUAGAGAAGCCAUAAACACAAAUAAUUAGUAAUUGUCAAUUAGUUAAGUAUAAAUAAGAAAAACAGAACAUAAGAAGUUAAACGAGCCGAGAGUCACAGCGAUGAGUGACCUCCUCGGGAACGACUGCGAAGUCGUUUUAAACUCAAAUUUCGAACCGUAAAAUGUGACGCCGCGGUCCUUAGGACCCUUAUGAACACAGUGGAAAAGAGAAAAUCACGAAAAAGAACUGUUAAGCCAGUCAAAUAAUUAGGUCAGGGAGCCGGAAGAAAUAUGGAAUUAUUUGCAAACCGGGAUGAACCGGCGAGGGGCAAUUUGGUCAAUUGACCCCGAGAGCUGACUCCUGACCUAACUGUCAAAUAAAAUCGGAGAAAAGAAAAUUUCGGAAUCGAGAAUUAAAUUAAAGAACUAAUAGAAAAAAAUAAAUAGAAAAAAAAAAGAAAGAAGAUGGAAAAGUCAAAGUUGAUGACAUCAUUAAUGAUGUCAUAAACAAAUUUAUUAAAUAUUUAUUAAAUUUGAUAUUUAUGGUCUUCCAUAGCAAAAUAAAUAAAAGAAAACAAAGGAAAAAAAAAUAGAAAACACUCAUCUUCCAUAUGUUUCUCUCUCUUCCAAGCUCUCCUCUCCCUUUCUUUUUAUUUUUCCACCAUUAAAGCUUAUAUUUAAGCUUUUAAAACCAUAAAUUACACCAUAAAUUUCCUAGUUCCUCAUGUUAAACCUUGUCUUUGAGUCUUGAAAAGAAGAUUGGAGCAAGAAAGAAAAGGAAAAAUUGAAGAAAUAAAGACUUGGGAAUUCUGCAUAAAAGUUGAAAAGAAUAUCGGGAAGGAACCCGAGGAACCGAGUCGAGGCUAAGGGACGACUCGUUUGAGAUUUGUGCACAAUAAAUCUUAUUUAAGCAUUUUACCCUUGAAAAAUUGAUUUAGCAUGCAGUAUGAAUUUAUGAACUUUUGUGUUGCCACCUUGUGAUCAAAUUGUAACUUUGGAAAUUGAUUUGAUUUUUGUAUGCAAUAUUUGAAUGAAAUGUUUGAAAUGGAUUUUUGAUUCACACUUAGCAUGACAGUUACUUAUUAUUCCUCCUCCAUUUAUGGGGUUGAGAUCGUUUAUUUUCCUCCCUCUCUGGCUUGCCAGUUGAGGUUGUAGAUCGGAUGAGUACUCAUUAGCUAGCUAGCCACCUCCCUCAUUGAUUUCGAUUAGUAGAGUGAGUUUGGCUUGUCGUGAUGUAGACACGACAUGUUCGGAAAUUUUGUGUCAUGGCCUAAGUUGUGUUAUCAGUGUUAUCAAGGCGAAAGGCGACACUAAGGCGAUAGAGUACUCUAUGGCCUUAGGCGAGAGGCGAGAGGCGAGGCGAGGGCCUUUUUGAAGCGAGGCGCCAUAACCUUAAUUGUUUAAAUUAUAUAUAUAUAUAUAUAU